Molecule: ribosomal RNA, 305 nt
Filed under: uncultured bacterium
Lineage: Bacteria
Description: bacterial SSU rRNA
Rfam family: Bacterial small subunit ribosomal RNA
Source: RNAcentral
CUUACCCUACGGGAGGCAGCAGUGGGGAAUAUUGCACAAUGGGGGAAACCCUGAUGCAGCGAUGCCGCGUGGAGGAAGAAGGUUUUCGGAUUGUAAACUCCUUUUAUCAGGGACGAUAAUGACGGUACCUGAAGAAAAAGCUCCGGCUAAAUACGUGCCAGCAGCCGCGGUAAUACGUAUGGAGCAAGCGUUAUCCGGAUUUACUGGGUGUAAAGGGAGCGCAGGCGGCAUGGCAAGUCAGAUGUGAAAGCCCGGGGCUCAACCCCGGGACUGCAUUUGAAACUGUCAGGCUGGAGUGCAGGAGG